This 469-nucleotide ribosomal RNA is filed under the name uncultured beta proteobacterium. RNAcentral's name for it is "bacterial SSU rRNA". It matches the Rfam family "Bacterial small subunit ribosomal RNA", at positions 185 to 649 of the family's 1533-position model. Lineage: Bacteria; Pseudomonadati; Pseudomonadota; Betaproteobacteria. The record is from RNAcentral.
GGAGAACUUUUGAGAUCGUAAGACCUUGCGUUAUUCGAGCGGCCGACCUCUGAUUAGCUAGUAGGUGAGGUAAGAGCUCACCUAGGCGACGAUCAGUAGCGGGUCUGAGAGGAUGAUCCGCCACACUGGGACUGAGACACGGCCCAGACUCCUACGGGGGGCAGCAGUGGGGAAUUUUGGACAAUGGGCGCAAGCCUGAUCCAGCCAUGCCGCGUGUCUGAAGAAGGCCUUCGGGUUGUAAAGGACUUUUGUCAGGGAGGAAAUCCCUAGCGCUAAUAUCUCUGGGGGAUGACAGUACCUGAAGAAUAAGCACCGGCUAACUACGUGCCAGCAGCCGCGGUAAUACGUAGGGUGCAAGCGUUAAUCGGAAUUACUGGGCGUAAAGCGUGCGCAGGCGGUUAGAUAAGCCAGAUGUGAAAUCCCCGAGCUCAACUUGGGAACUGCGUUUGAAACUACAAAGCUAGAAGGG